CUGCUGCUGGGUCGAAGUGUAGAAGGCUAGAAAGGAGUUGGCAUCGGAGACGAAGGGGAGACGCCAUGCUAUCUUGCACAUAAUGCCAAUUAAUUAAUGGAUACUACUGUGGUUCGGUUGGAUUAUGUAACCGGUGCCCAGGACGACUGCUAUCGAUCGACGUCUCGGUGCUGCUAGACGGUGAAUUGUAUAUCCGCACGAGCACGAUGCACGUUCUGAAGGAAUGCGAAUAGCAGAGGCGUGCCGACGAUUUGCAAGAAGGAUCGAGACUUUCAGUGUAUUGAAGUGAGACGGGGAAGAGAAAGAGUAGCGAGAGAUGAGAGAAAAAGAGAAGAAACGAGACGAAGGGGAAAGAUUCCGUUCUCGGGCCGGUUCCUACAGCGUCUGGUAAUGAAGGUGUUAUUAAAUAGAUUGAGAUUAAUUGCGUGAUUAGUGCUUUAUGUGUAAUUGGAUAGCGUACCAAGGGUAAAGAUGAGAAAGAAAGAAAGACAGAAAAAGAAGAAUAAGAGGAAGAAAGAA
Molecule: long non-coding RNA, 519 nt
Filed under: Polistes fuscatus (common paper wasp)
Lineage: Eukaryota; Metazoa; Arthropoda; Insecta; Hymenoptera; Vespidae
Description: uncharacterized LOC122525900
Source: RNAcentral